Molecule: ribosomal RNA, 273 nt
Filed under: uncultured bacterium
Lineage: Bacteria
Description: partial 16S ribosomal RNA
Rfam family: Bacterial small subunit ribosomal RNA
Source: RNAcentral
AUCGAAAGCUUGCUUUUGAUGGGCGUCGACCGGCGCACGGGUGAGUAACGCGUAUCCAACCUGCCCACCACUUGGGGAUAACCUUGCGAAAGUAAGACUAAUACCCAAUGACGUCUCUAGAAGACAUCUGAAGGAGAUUAAAGAUUUAUCGGUGAUGGAUGGGGAUGCGUCCGAUUAGCUAGUUGGUGAGGUAACGGCCCACCAAGGCGACGAUCGGUAGCCGGUCUGAGAGGAUGAACGGCCACAUUGGGACUGAGAUACGGCCCAGACUCC